This 253-nucleotide ribosomal RNA is filed under the name uncultured bacterium. RNAcentral describes it as "partial 16S ribosomal RNA". It matches the Rfam family "Bacterial small subunit ribosomal RNA", at positions 524 to 776 of the family's 1533-position model. The record is from RNAcentral.
GACGAGGGGUCCUAGCGUUGUUCGGAAUCACUGGGCGUAAAGCGUAUGUAGGCGGGCUUUUAAGUCAGGUGUGAAAUCCCAUGGCUCAACCAUGGAAUUGCAUUUGAAACUGGAAGUCUUGAAUGUGGGAGAGAUUGGUAGAAUACCUAGUGUAGUGGUGAAAUACGUAGAUAUUAGGUGGAAUACCGGUGGCGAAGGCGGCCAAUUGGCCCAACAUUGACGCUGAGAUACGAAAGCGUGGGGAUCAAACAGG